RNAcentral lists this ribosomal RNA (726 nucleotides) under Weissella paramesenteroides. RNAcentral's name for it is "bacterial SSU rRNA". It matches the Rfam family "Bacterial small subunit ribosomal RNA", at positions 60 to 770 of the family's 1533-position model. Lineage: Bacteria; Bacillati; Bacillota; Bacilli; Lactobacillales; Lactobacillaceae. The record is from RNAcentral.
UGACGAGCUUGCUCUGAUGUGAUUUUAUCUGACAAAGAGUGGCGAACGGGUGAGUAACACGUGGGUAACCUACCUCUUAGCAGGGGAUAACAUUUGGAAACAAGUGCUAAUACCGUAUAAUACCAACAACCGCAUGGUUGUUGGUUGAAAGAUGGUUCUGCUAUCACUAAGAGAUGGACCCGCGGUGCAUUAGCUAGUUGGUAAGGUAACGGCUUACCAAGGCAAUGAUGCAUAGCCGAGUUGAGAGACUGAUCGGCCACAAUGGGACUGAGACACGGCCCAUACUCCUACGGGAGGCAGCAGUAGGGAAUCUUCCACAAUGGGCGCAAGCCUGAUGGAGCAACGCCGCGUGUGUGAUGAAGGGUUUCGGCUCGUAAAACACUGUUAUAAGAGAAGAACGGCACUGAGAGUAACUGUUCAGUGUGUGACGGUAUCUUACCAGAAAGGAACGGCUAAAUACGUGCCAGCAGCCGCGGUAAUACGUAUGUUCCAAGCGUUAUCCGGAUUUAUUGGGCGUAAAGCGAGCGCAGACGGUUAUUUAAGUCUGAAGUGAAAGCCCUCAGCUCAACUGAGGAAUGGCUUUGGAAACUGGAUGACUUGAGUGCAGUAGAGGAAAGUGGAACUCCAUGUGUAGCGGUGAAAUGCGUAGAUAUAUGGAAGAACACCAGUGGCGAAGGCGGCUUUCUGGACUGUAACUGACGUUGAGGCUCGAAAGUGUGGGUAGCA